RNAcentral lists this transfer RNA (70 nucleotides) under Lamprotula gottschei. RNAcentral describes it as "tRNA-Met". The record is from RNAcentral. Lineage: Eukaryota; Metazoa; Mollusca; Bivalvia; Unionida; Unionidae.
GAUGGUAGUAGGAAGAGAUUUCUAUUUUUGGGUUAUGAGCCCAACAGCUUGGUUAUUAGCUUAUCCUACU